RNAcentral lists this ribosomal RNA (480 nucleotides) under uncultured Acidobacteriota bacterium. Its description in RNAcentral is "bacterial SSU rRNA". It matches the Rfam family "Bacterial small subunit ribosomal RNA", at positions 13 to 525 of the family's 1533-position model. Lineage: Bacteria; Pseudomonadati; Acidobacteriota. The record is from RNAcentral.
UUGAUCCUGGCUCAGAAUCAACGCUGGCGGCGCGCUUAACACAUGCAAGUCGCACGAGAAAGUGGAGCAAUCCAUGAGUACAGUGGCGUACGGGUGAGUUACACGUGGAUCAUCUACCUUUUAGUGGGGAAUACCCCCGGGAAACUGGGUAUAAUACCGCAUAAUCUCGUGAGAGGAAAGCAGCAAUGCGCUGAAAGAGUAGUCCGCGGCUGAUUAGCUAGUUGGUGAGGUAAUGGCUCACCAAGGCGAUGAUCGGUAGCCGGCCUGAGAGGGCACACGGCCACACUGGCACUGAAACAUGGGCCAGACUCCUACGGGAGGCAGCAGUGGGGAAUCUUGCACAAUGGAGUAAACUCUGAUGCAGCGACGCCGCGUGAGCGAUGAAGCCCUUCGGGGUGUUAAGCUCUUUCGACGGGAACGAUAAUGACGGUACCCGAAGAAGAAGCUGCUGCUAACUACGUGCCAGCAGCCGCGGUAAUU